GGGCCAUAGCUCAGUAGAAAAUCUUUGUAGGCAUCUGCUUUGCAUGCAGAAGGUCCCAAGUUCAAUCCCUGGCAUCUCCA
Podarcis lilfordi (Lilford's wall lizard) is the source of this 80-nucleotide non-coding RNA. Lineage: Eukaryota; Metazoa; Chordata; Lepidosauria; Squamata; Lacertidae. The record is from the annotation of a GenBank genome assembly.